Molecule: ribosomal RNA, 484 nt
Filed under: uncultured bacterium
Lineage: Bacteria
Description: partial 16S ribosomal RNA
Rfam family: Bacterial small subunit ribosomal RNA
Source: RNAcentral
GAUGAACGCUGGCGGCGUGCUUAACACAUGCAAGUCGAACGGUGAAGCAGGAGCUUGCUCUUGUGGAUCAGUGGCGAACGGGUGAGUAACACGUGAGCAACCUGCCCCUGACUCUGGGAUAAGCGCUGGAAACGGCGUCUAAUACUGGAUAUGUGAUGUGACCGCAUGGUCUGCAUCUGGAAAGAAUUUCGGUUGGGGAUGGGCCCGCGGCCUAUCAGCUUGUUGGGGAGGUAAUGGCUCACCAAGGCGUCGACGGGUAGACGGCCUGAGAGGGUGGCCGGCCACACUGGGACUGAGACACGGCCCAGAAUCCUACGGGAGGCAGCAGUGGUGAAUAUUGCACAAUGGGCGGAAGCCUGAUGCAGCAACGCCGCGUGAGGGAUGACGGCCUUCUGGUUGUAAACCUCUUUUAGCAGGGAAGAAGCGAAAGUGACGGUACCUGCAGAAAAAGCACCGGCUAACUACGUGCCAGCCGCCGCCGUAA